CGGUAACAGGAAGCAGCUUGCUGUUUCGCUGACGAGUGGCGGACGGGUGAGUAAUGUCUGGGAAACUGCCUGAUGGAGGGGGAUAACUACUGGAAACGGUAGCUAAUACCGCAUAACGUCGCAAGACCAAAGAGGGGGACCUUCGGGCCUCUUGCCAUCGGAUGUGCCCAGAUGGGAUUAGCUAGUAGGUGGGGUAACGGCUCACCUAGGCGACGAUCCCUAGCUGGUCUGAGAGGAUGACCAGCCACACUGGAACUGAGACACGGUCCAGACUCCUACGGGAGGCAGCAGUGGGGAAUAUUGCACAAUGGGCGCAAGCCUGAUGCAGCCAUGCCGCGUGUAUGAAGAAGGCCUUCGGGUUGUAAAGUACUUUCAGCGGGGAGGAAGGGAGUAAAGUUAAUACCUUUGCUCAUUGACGUUACCCGCAGAAGAAGCACCGGUUAACUCCGUGCCAGCAGCCGCGGUAAUACGGAGGGUGCAAGCGUUAAUCGGAAUUACUGGGCGUAAAGCGCACGCAGGCGGUUUGUUAAGUCAGAUGUGAAAUCCCCGGGCUCAACCUGGGAACUGCAUCUGAUACUGGCAAGCUUGAGUCUCGUAGAGGGGGGUAGAAUUCCAGGUGUAGCGGUGAAAUGCGUAGAGAUCUGGAGGAAUACCGGUGGCGAAGGCGG
Molecule: ribosomal RNA, 668 nt
Filed under: uncultured Pseudomonadota bacterium
Lineage: Bacteria; Pseudomonadati; Pseudomonadota
Description: bacterial SSU rRNA
Rfam family: Bacterial small subunit ribosomal RNA
Source: RNAcentral